UAGGGUUAAAACGGCGGAAGUGAAAGGAAGCUGUCAAGAUUGCACAUUCACCAUAGACGAAAUUGAGAGCUCAAGCGACAACUAGUUGAAGAGGUGGGUAAGACUACACAACCGGGAGCUAUGGCGGACGGGCCUCAAAAAGAAAUCAACGGCGUUCAUCUGUUGAGGCAACGAGUAGACUCCGGCGACUCGCUUCGACUCCGUUGGAGUGCGCCGGUGGGUGAGGGCGGCAAAUACAGUGCGGGAACAAUGGGCGAAGAACAAGAAAUCCAAGAAAUCUAAGAAGCAACAUGUUGAGAUUACGGACAGCCAUAACACAGAUGAUGACUUCGUUGAUCCUCCGGUUCAAGAAACAAGUACACAGGAUAACCAAGACUGUUUGUUUCUGUGCCGUUAUGUUUUGUAAAGUAUGCAUUUGUGGGUGUAUUGUAUGUUAGUGAAAGUGUGCAUCAGGUAAUAUUAUUUCAGUGCAAUUUUGAAUGUUUAUAAUGUGCAUAGUA
Ipomoea nil (Japanese morning glory) is the source of this 500-nucleotide long non-coding RNA. RefSeq lists it as uncharacterized. Lineage: Eukaryota; Viridiplantae; Streptophyta; Magnoliopsida; Solanales; Convolvulaceae. The record is from RefSeq and is a predicted model, not a curated record. The transcript has 3 exons.